RNAcentral lists this ribosomal RNA (459 nucleotides) under uncultured bacterium. RNAcentral's name for it is "partial 16S ribosomal RNA". It matches the Rfam family "Bacterial small subunit ribosomal RNA", at positions 338 to 795 of the family's 1533-position model. The record is from RNAcentral.
CCUACGGGAGGCAGCAGUGAGGAAUAUUGGUCAAUGGCCGGAAGGCUGAACCAGCCAAGUCGCGUGAGGGAGGAAGGCGCUGUGCGUUGUAGACCUCUUUUGUCGGGGGACAAAACGCCCGACUCGUCCGGUCCUGAGGGUACCCGGAGAAAAAGCAUCGGCAAACUCCGUGCCAGCAGCCGCGGUAAUACGGAGGAUGCGAGCGUUAUCCGGAUUCAUUGGGUUUAAAGGGUGCGCAGGCGGGCCUUUAAGCCGGCGGUGAAAUCGCGGGGCUCAACCCCGCCGUGCCGUUGGAACUGGGGGCCUUGAGUGCGGCGGAGGCAUGCGGAAUGCGCGGUGUAGCGGUGAAAUGCAUAGAUAUCGCGCAGAACCCCGAUUGCGAAGGCAGCGUGCCGUGCCGCAACUGACGCUGAGGCACGAAAGCGCGGGGAUCGAACAGGAUUAGAUACCCGUGUAGUC